Molecule: long non-coding RNA, 981 nt
Organism: Helicoverpa armigera (cotton bollworm)
Lineage: Eukaryota; Metazoa; Arthropoda; Insecta; Lepidoptera; Noctuidae
Exons: 3
Source: RefSeq, a predicted model, not a curated record
UCGUGACUUUAUCAGCGAUGUCGAAAGUGCACGCUAGGGCUUAACUCGCCGAAGAACAGGGGGUCUACUCUAAUUCACCGAAAAACGAAGUUUCGUACGAAAUUUCGCGAACUUCUUACCAUGGUUCUAUUUCGUUCCGAAAUUUCGUACGAACGAAGAUUGUUUGACGUUUAUUGUCUAUAAACCUACUCUAAUUCGAAAUGCUACGAACGAAUAUUUGAGUUUGACAGACGAAACUUCGGAAUUUUAACCUCAAAUUCAACGAAACCAAAAGAGUUAUCGUUUGAUUUUCGUGUUACUUUUCGUUUUGUGAAUUUUGUGUGAAAAUUAUUGGCAAAGGCUACAAUAAUGCUUUUAACCAAAGCAGCUUUACGUAAAGAUAGUGUAGAGCGAGGAGGGAAAAUAUUACCGAAAUUCUCGACGUAGAGUUUGUAGGAAAUCACAGACUCAGUCGGCAAUUUUUCAAAGAGUUGUGCCAGGAAUUCGUGCGUUUAUUAUCUCUAAACAAUGCAUAUUGCAAUUGCUAGACCUUCUGGAGCAUGAGGAACAAUAUUUUAAUAGAAAAUAAUUUCAUUCUCUGAACACCCAAGUUAUUUGUGACAGUGAUUACCUACUAUGUAACAAAUGUGGAUGUGUCAUUUGGGGGAGCAAUACACAUGAUGCUUAUAUUUGGAGAGAGUGUGUUAUUAGAAGCCACUUCAAGGGUCUCCAGAAUGAUACAGUUUAUCUGUUAGGUGACUCUGGGUAUGCUCUAAGGGAGCAUAUGAUGACACCUAUAGAUAAAGCUGUUGAAGAUUCUCUUGAAGGCAGUUACAACUUUGCAGAGCUUUGUUAAUGCAAAUUUUAGAAAGGAAUAGGUAGGACAAAGUUCUACUCAAGCACAUCAUAACAUGCUCCAGAAGAACUGUAUGUUUAUUGAUUUUAAGAAUUUGACAUGAUGUUAUUUCUUUACUUUAGAGUUUAAUAAAAGAAUAAAUUAUA